GAAUCUUCGGUUCGAAGAAGGAGGACUGCAGCAAUAUGUUUUAUCAAGGAUACAAAAACACUACAGUACAGCGGAAAGACGCCAGGACGAAACGACACGGUCACAGGAUUGAAAUACGCGUCCUGUUUGACCCUCGGCCCACAUCGUCGUGUGAGGAAACAAGAGUGGUGACGGUGGAGCCACAAGCGGGAACAAAUAUUGAACAGAAAUGGACAAAGAAAAGGGAAUUUUGAUUGUUGCCACGGAUUACGUCAUCUGCCAGAGAGAAGAGAGAAGUUACCGGAGCACUG
Long non-coding RNA from Dunckerocampus dactyliophorus (ringed pipefish), 290 nucleotides. RefSeq lists it as uncharacterized. The transcript is spliced from 3 exons. The record is from RefSeq and is a predicted model, not a curated record. NCBI's taxonomy places the organism in Eukaryota, Metazoa, Chordata, Actinopteri, Syngnathiformes, Syngnathidae.